Molecule: long non-coding RNA, 1734 nt
Organism: Magallana angulata
Lineage: Eukaryota; Metazoa; Mollusca; Bivalvia; Ostreida; Ostreidae
Exons: 3
Source: RefSeq, a predicted model, not a curated record
AAGACCAGGUCAACGGUUGUUCUAGCAGAGCAGUUGGUUUGUAAGCUGUCACCCUCUGAUCCAUUACACGAAUGACCAGUCUGCUCAGUACAAAGGGAUGUUACUCUGUCAGUGUGGAUCUGAUAAGCCUGAUCAUGAUUCAUCUGGUCUGGGUGACACAAGUAUAGUUUGUUCACGGCAGAGUUGUCACUUUUUCAAUGGAAGUGAUCAGGCUCAAUGGACCAGUCUACUUGUGAAAGUGAAUGUGGCAGUUUGAGAACGAAGAAUUUUGGAAAACGGACCAUCUUUGGUUCGAAUUAUCGAUCAUUUCCAAAUUGCUGACAGAGGACUGAGCUUGAUUACAUGUAACAGGUAAGAGUUGUAAGACAUCAUCAGCUGGAUUAAUAGGCCUACCGGUAGAUGGAGGAAAUUCGUAAAUCGCCAUUUGUUUAUCUCUGUCUGUUGUGGCAGUGCUGCAUGAACUGGUAGUGGAUGGGUUUAAUAUUUUCGAUAAUGAACUACUGAGACAUAACUUCUGUGUUAAUGACACUUUUCAGUUGUAAGAUCGCAGAGACCCCUCGUUUUUAUGAUCAGACAAGUACAUUACAUGUAUGUGUCUGGCCUCGUAUCCUUCGUCAUUUAAAUGUUGUAUGGCAGUCGCCCUUAGACAAUGCCCUGUAUAAAUCUGUGAUAGCCCAGCUGCCUUGCUGAUGUCUUUCAUAAAAUUUGAAAAGGUUCUCUUUUGUAGAAGGACAUUUAUGAACCAUUUUGAUGUACUGUUUGGAAGCGACACUGCAUCAUUUGUGUAUUUGUUGAAGAGGGAGGUGGCGGAUUCAUCAGUUUUCUCAAUUAGUAACUUUAACAUUUUCACUGGACAAGUAUCGGUACCUGUUGCGUACAUGCGUUUAUCAACGUUCAUUUCUACAUUUUGAAGACUGCCCUGGUGGUUUUUCUGUUGAAUUUCGUGACUGAUCAUUGCAUAUUCACCAUUUUGAUCCGUAUGAAAUGUAAAAGAAUUCAACUUCAGCUGAUGGUGAAAUUCUUGGCCCGAGAAAGGAAAUGGAUGGCCAGAUUGAAAUAUACACUCCAACGCAAUAUGAUUGGGUUACUCAGUGCAUCUUUGAAGGAACACAGAUGGUUUGCCCCGAUCACUGGAUAUUGUUCUCGGAUGUGAUGAAUGCCUUGUUCAUGUGGGCUCUUCAGAAAACGAAUUCGGACAUGAAUCUAUGGAAUUCUGAGGUGAAACAAAAACAUAUUGAAGAACAUGGAUUUUGUAGUCAAACGCUUGCACAUAUCACUGUGUUUUCAUUCCUACGGAAACAGAGACAUCUUACAUGUAACUUGGAUUAUUUCUUUUUUGCCCAGUAUAGCUGCAACUAAUGAUAAAAAGGAAAUCAGAAUAUAUGUUUGUGACAGCAAACAUGAUAUCUUGCUGGAAAGUAGAGAAAUGAACUUGUUCAUUGAGAUUCUGGGAACAAAAAGUCAACCACUCAGCUAUGAGGCUAUCUUGGCUGUGUGGCUUGUUGUUAACUAUAGAUUAUUGUGUAAUGGCCCACAAUCAUUAUUGCAAGUUCCCAAAGCCAGUUUCAUGUAGGAUGCAUUGGCAUGUACAAAAUGGCACUUUAACUAAUAACAUACCACACACUAGUUUUGCUGAUUAUGGUUACAUGUACAUUGAUAUCUUGAAAUGAAAAUUUAUUUGGCCAUAAGGUAUGUCUUGCAGGUUUCUUGUGGCUGAAAAGAAUCGAUUAUUGU